Molecule: non-coding RNA, 426 nt
Organism: Epinephelus lanceolatus (giant grouper)
Lineage: Eukaryota; Metazoa; Chordata; Actinopteri; Perciformes; Serranidae
Source: RefSeq, a predicted model, not a curated record
AGGGCAGCUGCAGGAAUAUACUGAUUUAUAUCCAGGCCUCUGCAGUCAGUUCCUUGGUCCAAAGGGUUGUGUAGGUGCGUCUGGCCAGCCCUACAUUCAAGAGGUGCGACAGUUCUGUGGAGGAGUGUGGAGGAGAGAUGAAGAUGCAGAGGAGGACAUGAAACAUCCUGCAGGGAUCAUUGUGCUGAAGAAUUACGAGGGGCAGGAAGCUGACUGUUUUCAUACUCUGUCCCUCUGCGUGGACGUCUUGGAGUGGAGCACCUGACAGCUGAGGGACACUCAGCGUUUACCUGCAUGGAUCUGCUGGAUUAUUACCUGAGUGGCACCUGGGCAGACUGCUGUGGUGGAUUAUUCCAGAUUGGUUCCUGGUUUACAGUGAUUGGGCUCUUAGCUGAUGUCUCUACCUGCAUCGCGACUGAAGAAUGG